RNAcentral lists this ribosomal RNA (2303 nucleotides) under Staphylococcus aureus. RNAcentral describes it as "partial 23S ribosomal RNA". It matches the Rfam family "Bacterial large subunit ribosomal RNA", at positions 598 to 2904 of the family's 2925-position model. Lineage: Bacteria; Bacillati; Bacillota; Bacilli; Caryophanales; Staphylococcaceae. The record is from RNAcentral.
GGCGUGCCUUUUGUAGAAUGAACCGGCGAGUUACGAUUUGAUGCAAGGUUAAGCAGUAAAUGUGGAGCCGUAGCGAAAGCGAGUCUGAAUAGGGCGUUUAGUAUUUGGUCGUAGACCCGAAACCAGGUGAUCUACCCUUGGUCAGGUUGAAGUUCAGGUAACACUGAAUGGAGGACCGAACCGACUUACGUUGAAAAGUGAGCGGAUGAACUGAGGGUAGCGGAGAAAUUCCAAUCGAACCUGGAGAUAGCUGGUUCUCUCCGAAAUAGCUUUAGGGCUAGCCUCAAGUGAUGAUUAUUGGAGGUAGAGCACUGUUUGGACGAGGGGCCCCUCUCGGGUUACCGAAUUCAGACAAACUCCGAAUGCCAAUUAAUUUAACUUGGGAGUCAGAACAUGGGUGAUAAGGUCCGUGUUCGAAAGGGAAACAGCCCAGACCACCAGCUAAGGUCCCAAAAUAUAUGUUAAGUGGAAAAGGAUGUGGCGUUGCCCAGACAACUAGGAUGUUGGCUUAGAAGCAGCCAUCAUUUAAAGAGUGCGUAAUAGCUCACUAGUCGAGUGACACUGCGCCGAAAAUGUACCGGGGCUAAACAUAUUACCGAAGCUGUGGAUUGUCCUUUGGACAAUGGUAGGAGAGCGUUCUAAGGGCGUUGAAGCAUGAUCGUAAGGACAUGUGGAGCGCUUAGAAGUGAGAAUGCCGGUGUGAGUAGCGAAAGACGGGUGAGAAUCCCGUCCACCGAUUGACUAAGGUUUCCAGAGGAAGGCUCGUCCGCUCUGGGUUAGUCGGGUCCUAAGCUGAGGCCGACAGGCGUAGGCGAUGGAUAACAGGUUGAUAUUCCUGUACCACCUAUAAUCGUUUUAAUCGAUGGGGGGACGCAGUAGGAUAGGCGAAGCGUGCGAUUGGAUUGCACGUCUAAGCAGUAAGGCUGAGUAUUAGGCAAAUCCGGUACUCAUUAAGGCUGAGCUGUGAUGGGGAGAAGACAUUGUGUCUUCGAGUCGUUGAUUUCACACUGCCGAGAAAAGCCUCUAGAUAGAAAAUAGGUGCCCGUACCGCAAACCGACACAGGUAGUCAAGAUGAGAAUUCUAAGGUGAGCGAGCGAACUCUCGUUAAGGAACUCGGCAAAAUGACCCCGUAACUUCGGGAGAAGGGGUGCUCUUUAGGGUUAACGCCCAGAAGAGCCGCAGUGAAUAGGCCCAAGCGACUGUUUAUCAAAAACACAGGUCUCUGCUAAACCGUAAGGUGAUGUAUAGGGGCUGACGCCUGCCCGGUGCUGGAAGGUUAAGAGGAGUGGUUAGCUUCUGCGAAGCUACGAAUCGAAGCCCCAGUAAACGGCGGCCGUAACUAUAACGGUCCUAAGGUAGCGAAAUUCCUUGUCGGGUAAGUUCCGACCCGCACGAAAGGCGUAACGAUUUGGGCACUGUCUCAACGAGAGACUCGGUGAAAUCAUAGUACCUGUGAAGAUGCAGGUUACCCGCGACAGGACGGAAAGACCCCGUGGAGCUUUACUGUAGCCUGAUAUUGAAAUUCGGCACAGCUUGUACAGGAUAGGUAGGAGCCUUUGAAACGUGAGCGCUAGCUUACGUGGAGGCGCUGGUGGGAUACUACCCUAGCUGUGUUGGCUUUCUAACCCGCACCACUUAUCGUGGUGGGAGACAGUGUCAGGCGGGCAGUUUGACUGGGGCGGUCGCCUCCUAAAAGGUAACGGAGGCGCUCAAAGGUUCCCUCAGAAUGGUUGGAAAUCAUUCAUAGAGUGUAAAGGCAUAAGGGAGCUUGACUGCGAGACCUACAAGUCGAGCAGGGUCGAAAGACGGACUUAGUGAUCCGGUGGUUCCGCAUGGAAGGGCCAUCGCUCAACGGAUAAAAGCUACCCCGGGGAUAACAGGCUUAUCUCCCCCAAGAGUUCACAUCGACGGGGAGGUUUGGCACCUCGAUGUCGGCUCAUCGCAUCCUGGGGCUGUAGUCGGUCCCAAGGGUUGGGCUGUUCGCCCAUUAAAGCGGUACGCGAGCUGGGUUCAGAACGUCGUGAGACAGUUCGGUCCCUAUCCGUCGUGGGCGUAGGAAAUUUGAGAGGAGCUGUCCUUAGUACGAGAGGACCGGGAUGGACAUACCUCUGGUGUACCAGUUGUCGUGCCAACGGCAUAGCUGGGUAGCUAUGUGUGGACGGGAUAAGUGCUGAAAGCAUCUAAGCAUGAAGCCCCCCUCAAGAUGAGAUUUCCCAACUUCGGUUAUAAGAUCCCUCAAAGAUGAUGAGGUUAAUAGGUUCGAGGUGGAAGCAUGGUGACAUGUGGAGCUGACGAAUACUAA